AAUAGAUACCCCGGUAGUCCACGCCGUAAACGAUGAUAACUAGCUGUCCGGGCACUUGGUGCUUGGGUGGCGCAGCUAACGCAUUAAGUUAUCCGCCUGGGGAGUACGGCCGCAAGGUUAAAACUCAAAGGAAUUGACGGGGGCCUGCACAAGCGGUGGAGCAUGUGGUUUAAUUCGAAGCAACGCGCAGAACCUUACCAGCGUUUGACAUGGUAGGACGGUUUCCAGAGAUGGAUUCCUUCCCUUCGGGGACCUACACACAGGUGCUGCAUGGCUGUCGUCAGCUCAUGUCGUGAGAUGUUGGGUUAAGUCCCGCAACGAGCGCAACCCUCGUCCUUAGUUGCCAUCAUUUAGUUGGGCACUCUAAGGAAACCGCCGGUGAUAAGCCGGAGGAAGGUGGGGAUGACGUCAAGUCCUCAUGGCCCUUACGCGCUGGGCUACACACGUGCUACAAUGGCGGUGACAAUGGGCAGCAAUCCCGCGAGGGUGAGCUAAUCUCCAAAAACCGUCUCAGUUCGGAUUGUUCU
Molecule: ribosomal RNA, 527 nt
Filed under: uncultured bacterium
Lineage: Bacteria
Description: bacterial SSU rRNA
Rfam family: Bacterial small subunit ribosomal RNA
Source: RNAcentral